RNAcentral lists this ribosomal RNA (468 nucleotides) under uncultured bacterium. RNAcentral describes it as "partial 16S ribosomal RNA". It matches the Rfam family "Bacterial small subunit ribosomal RNA", at positions 28 to 507 of the family's 1533-position model. The record is from RNAcentral.
GACGAACGCUGGCGGCGUGCUUAAUACAUGCAAGUCGAACGGAAAGGCCCUGCUUUUGUGGGGUGCUCGAGUGGCGAACGGGUGAGUAACACGUGAGUAACCUGCCCUUGACUUUGUGAUAACUUCAGGAAACUGGGGCUAAUACCGGAUAGGAGCUCCUGCUGCAUGGUGGGGGUUGGAAAGUUUCGGCGGUUGGGGAUGGACUCGCGGCUUAUCAGCUUGUUGGUGGGGUAGUGGCUUACCAAGGGUUUGACGGGUAGCCGGCCUGAGAGGGUGACCGGCCACAUUGGGACUGAGAUACGGCCCAGACUCCUACGGGAGGCAGCAGUGGGGAAUAUUGCACAAUGGGCGGAAGCCUGAUGCAGCAACGCCGCGUGCGGGAUGACGGCCUUCGGGUUGUAAACCGCUUUCGCCUGUGACGAAGCGUGAGUGACGGUAAUGGGUAAAGAAGCACCGGCUAACUACGUG